UACGUAGGGGGCAAGCGUUUUCCGGAAUCAUAGGGCGUAAAGCGCGUGUAGGCGGCUCGUUAAGUCUGCUGUGAAAGUCCAGGGCUCAACCCUGGAAAGCCGGUGGAAACUAGCCGGCUAGAGUCCGGAAGAGGCGAGUGGAAUUCCUGGUGUAGCGGUGAACUGCGCAGAAAUCAGGAGGAACACCAAUGGCGAAGGCAGCUCGGUGGAACGGUAGUGAUGCUGAGACGCGAAAGGGUGGGGAGGAAACAGA
This 253-nucleotide ribosomal RNA is filed under the name uncultured bacterium. RNAcentral describes it as "partial 16S ribosomal RNA". It matches the Rfam family "Bacterial small subunit ribosomal RNA", at positions 524 to 776 of the family's 1533-position model. The record is from RNAcentral.